RNAcentral lists this ribosomal RNA (253 nucleotides) under uncultured bacterium. RNAcentral describes it as "partial 16S ribosomal RNA". It matches the Rfam family "Bacterial small subunit ribosomal RNA", at positions 524 to 776 of the family's 1533-position model. The record is from RNAcentral.
UACAGAGGGUGCAAGCGUUAAUCGGAUUUACUGGGCGUAAAGGGUGCGUAGGUGGUUGUAUAAGUCGGAUGUGAAAGCCCGGGGCUCAACCUCGGAACGGCAUUCGAUACUGUAUGACUAGAAUUCGGUAGAGGGCGGCGGAAUUUCCGGUGUAGCGGUGAAAUGCGUAGAUAUCGGAAGGAACAUCAAUGGCGAAGGCAGCCGCCUGGGCCUGAAUUGACACUGAGGCACGAAAGCGUGGGUAGCAAACAGG